Molecule: long non-coding RNA, 879 nt
Filed under: Gouania willdenowi (blunt-snouted clingfish)
Lineage: Eukaryota; Metazoa; Chordata; Actinopteri; Blenniiformes; Gobiesocidae
Description: lncRNA (ENSGWIG00000000904.1)
Source: RNAcentral
GUCCGGCUGUGACGCUUUUAACAAACACGGAAGUGAAGAUCGUCAGCGUGACGGAGACCCAGAAAGUCAGGGGAUAGUGACGUUAAUCCUCUAAUUUACACCGGUUUUUCUUUCUGUUUGGGGUUUUUUUUUCCUAUGUGGAAGUUUUAGGGUUUGUUUAUAUAAUUGGAGCAGGGGAAGUGCUGAAAUGGCGUUUGUAAACCUGUUUACGAGUCUUAGCAGCCCUAAAGAAGACAGUGGGCGCCACGCGCAGCCCGCCUUCACACACCGGAAUUUCACUGAUUAUAGUCCCAGAGGUGGAUUCAGGAAGAGGAAAACCAACAAAGGGCAACCUGGGUCUCCUUGGAAGAGGCCAUGUAACAGAGAGCAGACAAACACGGCUCACGAUGCCUCCAUGGACAGGAACUCACAUCAUCCACACGGUGCUGAUCGUGGCAACAACUGCUACCACGGUCAAAAUCCACAGAGGACAAAUGGCUCGAACGGGAACAAGCAACAUCAACAACAACAACAAGGAAAUAAAAACAACAAUAAGAAAAACAACUAUCGGGAGGAUGUCACAAACAGAGGAUGGCACAGCAGGCGUGGAGGCAGAAAAGGUGCCCCAGGACGUAAAUACGGCGGGCAGGAUGUUCGUACAAAGACUAUGAGAAUGGACCCAAAGUUCAAGGAGCAGAAUGUGGUAGAGCUGGAUGGACGCAUGCUGUGUCGGCAUUUCUUUUUAGGAGCUUGCAUCAAGGGAGACCAGUGCCAACUGGAGCACAUUCAAGGCUACAAUGGCCUCAUCAAGGAAUGCUGCAAGUUCUACGUGCAGGGCCAAUGCAGCCGAGGCCAGAGCUGUCCGUUUAUGCACAAUAUCCUUCAUCAUGACCUUAUAGC